CUGUUUGGACUUUUUAACACGGUGCCAUCUCGCCAGUAUUUGGUGCACAGAGACAUCGUGCAGUGGUUUUGGACUAUAUAGCAGGGGACACAUUAUACAGUGAUUGUUUUUCAUUUAGCCUGUAUAUGUUCUGCAGAAUCUGCAUUAAACUGUAUCUUCCAAAGUACUGAACGGAUCUGGGUGAAUUUUGGAUAUGUGGUUCAUCCAGAUCCCCCGGUUCCAAGGAUAUACUUUUUAUGGGGUUAUUGCAUGUUUUGGGGUCCCUGUGAU
RNAcentral lists this long non-coding RNA (270 nucleotides) under Pelobates cultripes (western spadefoot toad). The record is from RNAcentral. Lineage: Eukaryota; Metazoa; Chordata; Amphibia; Anura; Pelobatidae.